UACGUAGGGUGCGAGCGUUGUCCGGAAUUACUGGGCGUAAAGAGCGUGUAGGCGGUGCUCCAAGUCUGGUGUGAAAUCUCCCGGCUUAACUGGGAGGGUGCAUUAGAAACUGGAGUGCUAGAGGAUGGGAGAGGUAAGCGGAAUUCCUGGUGUAGCGGUGAAAUGCGUAGAUAUCAGGAGGAACACCUGUGGUGUAGACAGCUUACUGGACCAUUUCUGACGCUGAGACACGAAAGCGUGGGUAGCAAACAGG
RNAcentral lists this ribosomal RNA (253 nucleotides) under uncultured bacterium. RNAcentral describes it as "partial 16S ribosomal RNA". It matches the Rfam family "Bacterial small subunit ribosomal RNA", at positions 524 to 776 of the family's 1533-position model. The record is from RNAcentral.